Molecule: unclassified non-coding RNA, 474 nt
Filed under: Hevea brasiliensis (rubber tree)
Lineage: Eukaryota; Viridiplantae; Streptophyta; Magnoliopsida; Malpighiales; Euphorbiaceae
Source: RNAcentral
UGAAACUCUGUCCAGCAACCCCAUUAAUUUGAUUGCAAUAGUUUGCUAUUUGAUUCGUUAUGAGAUAGCUAUCCAAACGUGAUGGCUCAGGGAGUGGUUUAAAGAUGGGGUUUGUAGGAUCCUCCUCAGGGAGAGGCUCUUCUCCUGCUGCCUUCCUCAUCAUGUUCUCAGCCCUUCUUUUCUGAAGCCAUGCUUGUUGUUGAGCUUGCUGACGGGUCAGGCUCCGAUAAUAAAAUUGGAACUUCUGCUGCUCCACUGACAAAUCAUCCAUACAUUCAAUCAGAAAUUCCACAUUCCUCUCCAUAAAUGGAUUUGUUGAAAGUUGCAGGCGGUCAUAAUCACACUGGGUGACUGGAGAGUCAGCUUCAAGCUCCGUCAUAAAAGCACUAAUGAGGGCUGAAUUCGAAACUUUGAUAGGUAUUUCCUCAAAAAUAUCCACCCAUGAUAAGUUCUUCUCCCUCAACUUCUCUCCUG